CCGUAAGUGACAUUUGAUCCUGGCUCAGUGUAACCUAGCAAGGUAGCCGAAGAGGGGAGAGUUGGAGACUGAUGCCUAGGGAUCUGCCCGGUCGAGGGGGAUAACAGUUGGAAACGACUGCUAAUACCGCAUACGCCCUACGGGGGAAAGGAGGGGACCUUCGGGCCUUUCGCGAUUGGAUGAACCUAGGUGGGAUUAGCUAGUUGGUGAGGUAAUGGCUCACCAAGGCGACGAUCCCUAGCUGUUCUGAGAGGAUGAUCAGCCACACUGGGACUGAGACACGGCCCAGACUCCUACGGGAGGCAGCAGUGGGGAAUAUUGCACAAUGGGCGAAAGCCUGAUGCAGCCAUGCCGCGUGUGUGAAGAAGGCCUUAGGGUUGUAAAGCACUUUCAGUAGGGAGGAAAGGCAGUUGUUUAAUAAACAACUGCUGUGACGUUACCUACAGAAGAAGGACCGGCUAACUUCGUGCCAGCAGCCGCGGUAAUACGAGGGGUCCAAGCGUUAAUCGGAAUUACUGGGCGUAAAGCGUACGCAGGCGGUUCAUUAAGCUAGAUGUGAAAUCCCCGGGCUCAACCUGGGAAUUGCAUUUAGAACUGGUGAACUAGAGUCUUGUAGAGGGGGGUAGAAUUUCAGGUGUAGCGGUGAAAUGCGUAGAGAUCUGAAGGAAUACCGGUGGCGAAAGCGGCCCCCUGGACAAAGACUGACGCUCAUGUACGAAAGCGUGGGGAGC
RNAcentral lists this ribosomal RNA (731 nucleotides) under Shewanella sp. Its description in RNAcentral is "bacterial SSU rRNA". It matches the Rfam family "Bacterial small subunit ribosomal RNA", at positions 66 to 769 of the family's 1533-position model. Lineage: Bacteria; Pseudomonadati; Pseudomonadota; Gammaproteobacteria; Alteromonadales; Shewanellaceae. The record is from RNAcentral.